GCAUAUCAAUAAGCGGAGGAAAAGAAACCAACAGGGAUUGCCUCAGUAGCGGCGAGUGAAGCGGCAAAAGCUCCAUUUUGAAAGCUCUUCGGAGCGUUGUAGAUUGGUGGGAAGCUAACGGCUGGUGGGAGACCAAGUCCUCUGGAACGAGGCGCCAUAGAGGGUGAGAGCCCCGUGUGUCUCCUUUACCGACCUUUCAGCCCCCUCCGCGGAGUCGAGUUGUUUGGGAAUGCAGCUCUAAGUGGGUGGUAAAUUCCAUCUAAGGCUAAAUAUUGGCGAGAGACCGAUAGCGAACAAGUACAGUGAUGGAAAGAUGAAAAGCACUUUGAAAAGAGAGUGAAACAGUACGUGAAAUUGUUGAAAGGGAAGGGUAUUUGGCCCGACAUGGGUCCUAUGCACCGUUGCCUCUCGUGGGCGGCGCUCUGCUUGGGCCUGGGCCAGCGUCAGUUUGGAGGGGGCGAGAAGGGUUUUGGGGAGUUGCCUAGCAAUUCCCCUUUGCUAGAUUGCCCCACACCGGACUGAGGUCCGCGCAUUUAUGCUAGGAUGCUGGCGUAAUGGCUGUAAGCGGCCCGUCUUGAAACACGGACC
RNAcentral lists this ribosomal RNA (588 nucleotides) under uncultured fungus. Its description in RNAcentral is "LSU rRNA". It matches the Rfam family "Eukaryotic large subunit ribosomal RNA", at positions 38 to 667 of the family's 3401-position model. Lineage: Eukaryota; Fungi. The record is from RNAcentral.